This 1095-nucleotide ribosomal RNA is filed under the name Salmonella enterica. Its description in RNAcentral is "partial 23S ribosomal RNA". It matches the Rfam family "Bacterial large subunit ribosomal RNA", at positions 1213 to 2290 of the family's 2925-position model. The record is from RNAcentral. Lineage: Bacteria; Pseudomonadati; Pseudomonadota; Gammaproteobacteria; Enterobacterales; Enterobacteriaceae.
CUUAUGCGUUGUUGGGUAGGGGAGCGUUCUGUAAGCCUGCGAAGGUGGCCUGUGAGGGUUGCUGGAGGUAUCAGAAGUGCGAAUGCUGACAUAAGUAACGAUAAAGCGGGUGAAAAGCCCGCUCGCCGGAAGACCAAGGGUUCCUGUCCAACGUUAAUCGGGGCAGGGUGAGUCGACCCCUAAGGCGAGGCCGAAAGGCGUAGUCGAUGGGAAACGGGUUAAUAUUCCCGUACUUGGUGUUACUGCGAAGGGGGGACGGAGAAGGCUAUGUUGGCCGGGCGACGGUUGUCCCGGUUUAAGCGUGUAGGUGUGUGUUCCAGGUAAAUCCGGUUCACUUUAACACUGAGGCGUGACGACGAGGCACUACGGUGCUGAAGCAACAAAUGCCCUGCUUCCAGGAAAAGCCUCUAAGCAUCAGGUAACAUCAAAUCGUACCCCAAACCGACACAGGUGGUCAGGUAGAGAAUACCAAGGCGCUUGAGAGAACUCGGGUGAAGGAACUAGGCAAAAUGGUGCCGUAACUUCGGGAGAAGGCACGCUGACACGUAGGUGAAGUGAUUUACUCAUGGAGCUGAAGUCAGUCGAAGAUACCAGCUGGCUGCAACUGUUUAUUAAAAACACAGCACUGUGCAAACACGAAAGUGGACGUAUACGGUGUGACGCCUGCCCGGUGCCGGAAGGUUAAUUGAUGGGGUCAGCGCAAGCGAAGCUCCUGAUCGAAGCCCCGGUAAACGGCGGCCGUAACUAUAACGGUCCUAAGGUAGCGAAAUUCCUUGUCGGGUAAGUUCCGACCUGCACGAAUGGCGUAAUGAUGGCCAGGCUGUCUCCACCCGAGACUCAGUGAAAUUGAACUCGCUGUGAAGAUGCAGUGUACCCGCGGCAAGACGGAAAGACCCCGUGAACCUUUACUAUAGCUUGACACUGAACAUUGAGCCUUGAUGUGUAGGAUAGGUGGGAGGCUUUGAAGUGUGGACGCCAGUCUGCAUGGAGCCGACCUUGAAAUACCACCCUUUAAUGUUUGAUGUUCUAACGUGGACCCGUUACCCGGGUUGCGGACAGUGUCUGGUGGGUAGUUUGACUGGGGCGGUCUCCUCC